AACGAACGCUGGCGGCGUGCCUAAGACAUGCAAGUCGUGCGGAAAGGCUCCUUCGGGAGUACUCGAGCGGCGCACGGGUGAGUAACACGUGGGUAAUCUACCUGAGGGUCUGGGAUAACUCCGGGAAACUGGGGCUAAUACCGGAUGAGACCACGGCGUCUUCGGACGCAGCGGUCAAAGAUGGCCUCUCCUUGGAAGCUAUCGCCCGCAGAUGAGCCCGCGUCCCAUUAGCUAGUUGGCGGGGUAACGGCCCACCAAGGCGACGAUGGGUAGCUGGUCUGAGAGGAUGAUCAGCCACACUGGAACUGAGACACGGUCCAGACUCCUACGGGAGGCUG
This 338-nucleotide ribosomal RNA is filed under the name uncultured Pseudomonadota bacterium. Its description in RNAcentral is "bacterial SSU rRNA". It matches the Rfam family "Bacterial small subunit ribosomal RNA", at positions 29 to 351 of the family's 1533-position model. The record is from RNAcentral. Lineage: Bacteria; Pseudomonadati; Pseudomonadota.